CAGAAUUCUUUGAAAAGGAUUUACACUAUAUUUUCAUUCUGGUACUAGGUAAACCUGGAACCAACCCAAGCACUAAGACUCCAGAUUGAGCAUAUGUAUCAGCUGUUUAACUACAAAGACCUGCAUUAUUUGACUCUCCCCUGGUAGAAUGCAAGUCCUGUCUAGAAGCCACAUCCCACUAACCCAACUGGGACUCAGUCCUACAGCCACAUGGAACUUAAUUUUGGCAACACCUCAAUGACUUUGGAAGAGGAUUCAUUCCUAAGAACCUCAAGAAAACAUCACAGCCCUGCUGAAACUGAUUUCAGGACUGAGUGACUUGGAGCAAAAAACCAGCUAAGCUACAUUGUGUACAGGCUUCUGAUUCAUAGAACUCUGUUGUUUGAAGCCAUUAAUUUUGGAAAGUUGUUCCAGCAACAGAAAACUAAUAAAAUUGUGAUUCCAGUC
Non-coding RNA from Oryctolagus cuniculus (rabbit), 447 nucleotides. The record is from RefSeq and is a predicted model, not a curated record. Lineage: Eukaryota; Metazoa; Chordata; Mammalia; Lagomorpha; Leporidae.